UACGUAGGGGGCGAGCGUUGUCCGGAUUUAUUGGGCGUAAAGGGCGUGUAGGCGGCCUUUUAAGUCAGGGGUGAAAACCCGAGGCUCAACCUCGGGACUGCCUCUGAUACUGGAGGGCUUGAGUGCUCUAGAGGGCAGUGGAAUGGCCGGUGUAGCAGUGAAAUGCGUAGAGAUCGGUCGGGACACCAGUGGCGAAGGCGACUGCCUGGGGAGUAACUGACGCUGAGGCGCGAAAGCUGGGGGUGCAAACGGG
Molecule: unclassified non-coding RNA, 253 nt
Filed under: uncultured Eubacteriales bacterium
Lineage: Bacteria; Bacillati; Bacillota; Clostridia; Eubacteriales
Description: contains 16S-23S intergenic spacer region
Rfam family: Bacterial small subunit ribosomal RNA
Source: RNAcentral